Molecule: ribosomal RNA, 445 nt
Filed under: uncultured bacterium
Lineage: Bacteria
Description: bacterial SSU rRNA
Rfam family: Bacterial small subunit ribosomal RNA
Source: RNAcentral
GAUGAACGCUGGCGGCGUGCUUAACACAUGCAAGUCGAACGGGAAAUAUUUCAUUGAGACUUCGGUGGAUUUGAUCUAUUUCUAGUGGCGGACGGGUGAGUAACGCGUGGGUAACCUGCCUUAUACAGGGGGAUAACAGUCAGAAAUGGCUGCUAAUACCGCAUAAGCGCACAGAGCUGCAUGGCUCAGUGUGAAAAACUCCGGUGGUAUAAGAUGGACCCGCGUUGGAUUAGCUUGUUGGUGGGGUAACGGCCCACCAAGGCGACGAUCCAUAGCCGGCCUGAGAGGGUGAACGGCCACAUUGGGACUGAGACACGGCCCAGACUCCUACGGGAGGCAGCAGUGGGGAAUAUUGCACAAUGGGGGAAACCCUGAUGCAGCGACGCCGCGUGAAGGAAGAAGUAUCUCGGUAUGUAAACUUCUAUCAGCAGGGAAGAUAGUGACG